RNAcentral lists this ribosomal RNA (301 nucleotides) under uncultured bacterium. RNAcentral's name for it is "partial 16S ribosomal RNA". It matches the Rfam family "Bacterial small subunit ribosomal RNA", at positions 510 to 808 of the family's 1533-position model. The record is from RNAcentral.
CGCAGCCGCGGUAAUACGGAGGGUGCAAGCGUUAAUCGGAAUUACUGGGCGUAAAGCGCACGCAGGCGGUCUGACAAGUCAGAUGUGAAAUCCCCGGGCUUAACCUGGGAACUGCAUUUGAAACUGUCAGGCUGGAGUCUUGUAGAGGGGGGUGGAAUUCCAGGUGUAGCGGUGAAAUGCGUAGAGAUCUGGAGGAAUACCGGUGGCGAAGGCGGCCCCCUGGACAAAGACUGACGCUCAGGUGCGAAAGCGUGGGGAGCAAACAGGAUUAGAUACCCCGGUAGUCCCUGUCUCUUAUACA